Molecule: microRNA, 21 nt
Filed under: Ciona intestinalis (vase tunicate)
Lineage: Eukaryota; Metazoa; Chordata; Ascidiacea; Phlebobranchia; Cionidae
Description: cin-miR-4064-3p
Source: miRBase by way of RNAcentral
AACAACCGGUAACCCUGUCCG